Molecule: ribosomal RNA, 253 nt
Filed under: uncultured bacterium
Lineage: Bacteria
Description: partial 16S ribosomal RNA
Rfam family: Bacterial small subunit ribosomal RNA
Source: RNAcentral
UACGUAGGGUGCAAGCGUUAAUCGGAAUUACUGGGCGUAAAGAGCUCGUAGGCGGUUUGUCGCGUCUGCUGUGAAAACCUAAGGCUCAACCUUGGGCUUGCAGUGGGUACGGGCAGACUAGAGUGCGGUAGGGGUGACUGGAAUUCCUGGUGUAGCGGUGGAAUGCGCAGAUAUCAGGAGGAACACCGAUGGCGAAGGCAGGUCACUGGGCCGCAACUGACGCUGAGGAGCGAAAGCAUGGGGAGCGAACAGG